GAAACUAAAAGAAUUUGGCGGUGUAUUAUUUUAUCAGAGGAACUUGGUGAUUAAUCGAUAUUACACGCGCCACCUUACUAUAUUUAUAUAUUUAUAUAUCGCUGUUUUGAGUGAACUAAUAGGUUUUUCUCUUAGAUCUAUGAAUGAGGUAUUUCAGGUCAAGGUUUAGUUUAUGAUAUAGUUUUAUUGAGUUACAUUGCUGGCUGUGACAAAGAUUUAUNUAAAAGUGACCGUAAGAUGGAUUUGAAAGUAAUUAUGAUAAUAGGUGAAAGAU
RNAcentral lists this ribosomal RNA (274 nucleotides) under Zorotypus shannoni. RNAcentral's name for it is "partial 12S ribosomal RNA". The record is from RNAcentral. Lineage: Eukaryota; Metazoa; Arthropoda; Insecta; Zoraptera; Zorotypidae.